This 440-nucleotide ribosomal RNA is filed under the name uncultured bacterium. Its description in RNAcentral is "bacterial SSU rRNA". It matches the Rfam family "Bacterial small subunit ribosomal RNA", at positions 958 to 1398 of the family's 1533-position model. The record is from RNAcentral.
AACGCGAAGAACCUUACCUGGGCUAGACAACGGCGGACCGCCUGAGAAAUCAGGCUUUCCCUUCGGGGACUGCCGGUUCAGGUGCUGCAUGGCUGUCGUCAGCUCGUGUGGUGACAUGUUGGGUUAAGUCCCGCAACGAGCGCAACCCUUGUCUUUAGUUGCCAUCAUUCAGUUGGGCUCUCUAAAGAGACUGCCGUGGUUAACACGGAGGAAGGUGGGGAUGACGUCAAGUCCUCAUGGCCUUUAUAUCCAGGGCGACACACGUGAUACAAUGGACGGUACAGAGGGACGCCAAGAGGCAACUCGGAGCUAAUCUCAAAAAGCCGUUCUCAGUUCGGAUUGGAGUCUGCAACUCGACUCCAUGAAGUUGGAAUCGCUAGUAAUCGCGGAUCAGCACGCCGCGGUGAAUACGUUCCCGGGCCUUGUACACACCGAGUAUA